Molecule: ribosomal RNA, 468 nt
Filed under: uncultured bacterium
Lineage: Bacteria
Description: partial 16S ribosomal RNA
Rfam family: Bacterial small subunit ribosomal RNA
Source: RNAcentral
GACGAACGCUGGCGGCGUGCUUAACACAUGCAAGUCGAACGGAAAGGCCCUGCUUUUGUGGGGUGCUCGAGUGGCGAACGGGUGAGUAACACGUGAGUAACCUGCCCUUGACUUUGGGAUAACUUCAGGAAACUGGGGCUAAUACCGGAUAGGAGCUCCUGCUGCAUGGUGGGGGUUGGAAAGUUUCGGCGGUUGGGGAUGGACUCGCGGCUUAUCAGCUUGUUGGUGGGGUAGUGGCUUACCAAGGCUUUGACGGGUAGCCGGCCUGAGAGGGUGACCGGCAACAUUGGGACUGAGAUACGGCCCAGACUCCUACGGGAGGCAGCAGUGGGGAAUAUUGCACAAUGGGCGGAAGCCUGAGGAAGGAACGCGGCGUGCGGGAUGACGGCCUUCGGGUUGAAACCCGCUUUCGCAUGUGACGAAGCGUGAGUGACGGUAAUGGGUAAAGAAGCACCGGCUAACUACGUG